Long non-coding RNA from Triticum dicoccoides, 630 nucleotides. RefSeq lists it as uncharacterized. The record is from RefSeq and is a predicted model, not a curated record. Lineage: Eukaryota; Viridiplantae; Streptophyta; Magnoliopsida; Poales; Poaceae. The transcript is spliced from 2 exons.
CCUGAUUUUCAGUAUGAGUAAAUAGGCUAUAAAAUAUGUUUUUAUGGUGUUUUUGUCUAUGUGUUUUCUUAUGAUCCUUCUCCUGAUUUUCUUUUGUGUCAUGUAUGUAGGGAGAUGAUGGUGAUCAAUACCGUCUUGUAAAGCGUCAAAGACGGAAAGCGAAAGCCACAACACCCGAUGUAGGCGGUUCCUCAUCUACAGCAGUUGUUGAGGAAAUCGGCAACCCGAGCACCUACUGUGGCAACUCCAACACCUAGUGAGCCAGCUGCAGGUCAACACAUGCAUAAUGCAUCAUCUGAUGGGCCAACGCCCGCAACUAGUGAGGGAAACACACUUUCAUCUGUGCCAGCUCCAGUAAUCACUCUGCCAAGUACAAUAUCAAGUGAGGCAACUGUAACUCCAGAUGUGCCACCCCCAAUAGCCAAUGUGCCACCUGAAGGUCAAACUGUGCCAACUGCAGGGCAUAUGUUGGAUGUUGGUGUGAACAAUCUUUUGUGCCUAUUUUGUAUCUAUUUUCAUCGGAUGUUGGUGUGAACAAUCUUUUAUGCACGCUGUGUGCCUACAGGUGGCUGCUGCAACUUGUCUAGUUGCACGAAAGCAGUAUAUAGUUGCACCAACUUGUUUACUUUU